UACGGAGGGUGCAAGCGUUGUUCGGAAUUAUUGGGCGUAAAGCGCGCGCAGGCGGCUUUUUAAGUCUGAUGUGAAAACCCUCGGCUCAACCGAGGACGUGCAUUGGAUACUGGAAGGCUUGAGUCUCGGAGAGGAAAGCGGAAUUCCCAGUGUAGAGGUGAAAUUCGUAGAUAUUGGGAGGAACACCGGUGGCGAAGGCGGCUUUCUGGACGAUGACUGACGCUGAGGCGCGAAAGCGUGGGUAGCAAAC
Molecule: ribosomal RNA, 250 nt
Filed under: uncultured bacterium
Lineage: Bacteria
Description: partial 16S ribosomal RNA
Rfam family: Bacterial small subunit ribosomal RNA
Source: RNAcentral